UACGUAGGGGGCAAGCGUUGUCCGGAUUUAUUGGGCGUAAAGAGCGUGUAGGCGGUUAGGUAGGUCCGUUGUGAAAACUCGAGGCCCAACCUCGAGACGCCGAUGGAAACCAUCUGACUAGAGUCCGGAAGAGGAGAGUGGAAUUCCUGGUGUAGCGGUGAAAUGCGCAGAUAUCAGGAAGAACACCCGUGGCGAAGGCGGUUCUCUGGGACGGUACUGACGCUGAGACGCGAAAGCGUGGGGAGCGAACAGG
This 253-nucleotide ribosomal RNA is filed under the name uncultured bacterium. Its description in RNAcentral is "partial 16S ribosomal RNA". It matches the Rfam family "Bacterial small subunit ribosomal RNA", at positions 524 to 776 of the family's 1533-position model. The record is from RNAcentral.